Molecule: long non-coding RNA, 2011 nt
Organism: Daphnia pulicaria
Lineage: Eukaryota; Metazoa; Arthropoda; Branchiopoda; Diplostraca; Daphniidae
Exons: 4
Source: RefSeq, a predicted model, not a curated record
AGAAGUGAUGUAAACACUCCAAAAGAAAUAAAAUGAUUACUUAGUGACUUUUCAGGAGCUACCAUAUUUACCUAUUUUUAUUGCAUUAGGUUCCCUUGUGUUAGUCUUAUUGUUUAUCUUUGCGAAAAGACAAAUAAUGCGAUUUACUUUACGAUCGAGAAGGGGUCCACAUGUUCCAAUUGGUCAUUCCGCACCCAGGUGGCUUAGAAAAGAAAUUGAACGCAGGCUAGACCUUGUUGGCCGAAUCAAACAUGAACCAAAACUUGUUUCUGAAGCUAGUUCAGCUGAUACUCACAACCCUGAAACCUUUUGCCGGAUGCAAGCUAUGGAUGACAUAAAGAUUUUAGAAAUUCAAUUGCAAGCUGCAGAUCCCAAAGCAGGGAGAAUGCCCAAUGAAAACCUCAGCCCCUUUUUAAUGGCUCAAAUUAAUACUGCAAUGUGUGUGCAUGCAAACUUGGCACCGUCAAACAGCUACUGCAUGAAGAGCUUGCCAUUUCAUACCCAGACAAGACACCUUUUACGAACACCAACAUUGGCCAGUACCACAAAUCCCUGAAACAAGCUAUGAAAUCUACCCUGAAAGUUUGACCUUCAACCAACCUGCUGAAAGCUAUGAUCUUCAUCCAUAUUUUCCUGUUACACCAUUUCUUCCAGUUGGCAUUCAUGAAGAAGAUGAAUUUCAAGGUUUCCCUCUGAAUUCCGAAAAUGAUUCUACGCCUGAAAAUUUCAUGAUGUACACCACAGAAAACGGCUCAUUUUUUAUUGAAAAUAUGCUUUCGGAAAUCUCUGUAUUUGCUUACAACAACUUGCCGAAUUGGGGAUUCUCGCAUCCUUUGGGAUAUGUGCUAAAGAACAAACGAGGAUUGUUCGGAUGUUUCACUCUUCACUCUGGAAAGGCUUGUUAUGUCAAAUUUUCGCCCUACUCAAUCAAAUUCUCGAGUAUUAUACAUUGCACCAGAGGUUAUUUUCGUGGUUUGUUGUCAUUCCGAGUAAUAGCAACAUAGUUCCUGAAUGUUUUUUGUUAUCACAUCUGCAGUACCCAAGCUUUAUAUGAACUCAACAUUGUUGAGGAAUUCAAUAGGUAAACAUUAAACAUAUUUUACAGUAACAUUUUUUUUACUGCUACACCAAAUACUUUACACAAGGUGUAGGAUUACCUUGACAUUGAUAAAAGCAAAUCAUAAACAAGGUAAUUUAUUUUUUUUGCAAUUUUCAGGUUCUUUCUUGACCUGAGUUAUUGGUACUUUUACAUUGCUCAGUGUUCAUCAAGUAGGGAAAUGCAUUCCCAACAGUUUUGAUUUCCCAAUACAAAGAAUGCAACCAACUUCAAUCCACUGGUAGAGAUGGAGCUGUUCCAUUAUAUUUAUUUUUCCUAAAUGUUUAAUUGAAAACAGUUUGUGGUUGUUUUCAAUAAAAAAUUGACAGAUGACAACCACCAAGACCCUAUUAUUUUAUCACCACAACCACACAUCAUCCUUUGUUUAUUAAACCUCUGAAGUUUGGUGCUCUUUGAAACCUCCAGGGCAGUGAUACCGGAAUACCAAUUGCAGCAUCAUCUUCAAUCACACGGCAGUAGCAAUACUGCUUGCUGUUGUGCAAUUCCUUCCUUACAUUCUUCCUUGCUGCAAGCAUCAUAUUUGACUAUCCGAGCGACUACCCAACCGACGUCCAGGUGGAUAACUCUUACUGCCUCCUACUACCGUGCUCUCAACAACAGCAGGGAGUUUUUUUUUCUUUAUUGUUUAUUUUUUUGUGAUUUGUAAUGGCGCCAUGGCGGUUUCUUGAGUAUGACGAGGCGCCGAUGAUUAUUAAUUGCGAGGAGAAUAUUGUGAGUAUCAAGUGUUAUUUUAAGAAAAUCGAUGAGCUAUAGAGCAGGCAUCCCCGAGGAUAAUAACUUUCUUCCUUGAAUAACUAAGUUAAUUCAUAAAAAUUUAUUAUCAGUGUAUUUCAUGUUACAACUAAUACAGAUGCAACAACAGAAACUAAUACAGAUACAAGCUGUUUAGGCUAA